CCCGGCCGGCGACCGGCGCACGGGUGAGUAACACGUAUGCAACCUGGCCGCCACAGGGGGAUAACCCGCGGAAACGCGGCCUAAUACCCCGUGACGCCACCGGAGGGCAUCCUCCGGUGGCCAAAGGAGCGAUCCGGUGGCGGAUGGGCAUGCGGCGCAUUAGCUAGACGGCGGGGUGACGGCCCACCGUGGCGACGAUGCGUAGGGGUUCUGAGAGGAAGGCCCCCCACACUGGGACUGAGACACGGCCCAGACUCCUACGGAAGGCAGCAG
Molecule: ribosomal RNA, 273 nt
Filed under: uncultured bacterium
Lineage: Bacteria
Description: partial 16S ribosomal RNA
Rfam family: Bacterial small subunit ribosomal RNA
Source: RNAcentral